This 480-nucleotide ribosomal RNA is filed under the name uncultured bacterium. RNAcentral's name for it is "bacterial SSU rRNA". It matches the Rfam family "Bacterial small subunit ribosomal RNA", at positions 32 to 521 of the family's 1533-position model. The record is from RNAcentral.
AAUCAACGCUGGCGGCGUGCCUCAGACAUGCAAGUCGAACGAUUAAAGCUCUCUUCGGAGAGUGUAUAGAGUGGCGCACGGGUGAGUAACACGUAAGUAAUCUACCUUCGAGUGGGGAAUAACGUCCGGAAACGGACGCUAAUACCGCAUAAUGCAGCGGCAUCGCAAGAUGACAGUUGUUAAAGAUUUAUCGCUUGAAGAGGAGCUUGCGGCAGAUUAGCUAGUUGGUAAGGUAACGGCUUACCAAGGCUACGAUCUGUAUCCGGUCUAAGAGGACGGUCGGACACACUGACACUGAAUAACGGGUUCAGACUCCUACGGGAGGCAGCAGUCGGGAAUUUUGGGCAAUGGGCGAAAGCCUGACCAGCAACGCCGCGUGAAGGAUGAAGUAUUUCGGUAUGUAAAACUUCGAAAGAAUAGGAAGAAUUAAUGACGGUACUAUUUAUAAGGUCCGGCUAACUACGUGCCAGCAGCCGCCGU